This 484-nucleotide ribosomal RNA is filed under the name uncultured Thermotogae bacterium. RNAcentral describes it as "bacterial SSU rRNA". It matches the Rfam family "Bacterial small subunit ribosomal RNA", at positions 907 to 1392 of the family's 1533-position model. The record is from RNAcentral. Lineage: Bacteria; Thermotogati; Thermotogota; Thermotogae.
GAAUUGACGGGGGCCCGCACAAGCGGUGGAGCAUGUGGUUUAAUUCGAAGCAACGCGAAGAGCCUUACCAGGUCUUGACAUCCCUGGACAGCUGUGGAAACACAGUUUCCCUUCGGGGCCAGGAGACAGGUGGUGCAUGGUUGUCGUCAGCUCGUGUCGUGAGAUGUUGGGUUAAGUCCCGCAACGAGCGCAACCCUUGCCUUUAGUUGCCAUCAUUAAGUUGGGGACUCUAAAGGGACUGCCGGUGACAAAUCGGAGGAAGGAGGGGAUGACGUCAGGUAAGCGUGCCCCUUAUACUCUGGGCGACACACGUGCUACAAUGGAGGGGACAAAGGGAAGCGAAGCCGAGAGGUGGAGCGGAUCCUAAAAAAACUCUCCGAAAUACGGAUUGUAGGCUGCAACCCGCCUACAUGAAGUCGGAAUCGCUAGUAAUCGCAGGUCAGCCAAACUGCGGUGAAUACGUUCCCGGGCCUUGUACACACCG